ACGCUCGACACCUACGGGAGCAGCAGUUGGGAAUAUUGGACAAUGGAGGAAACUCUGAUCCAGUGACGCCGCGUGAAGGAAGAAGGUCUUCGGAUUGUAAACUUAUUUUGUCAGGGAAGAAAAAUGACUGUACCUGAAGAAAAAGCACCGGCUAACUACGUGCCAGCAGCCGCGGUAAUCUGAGCGGGCGUGGCGAAGGC
RNAcentral lists this ribosomal RNA (200 nucleotides) under uncultured bacterium. RNAcentral's name for it is "partial 16S ribosomal RNA". It matches the Rfam family "Bacterial small subunit ribosomal RNA", at positions 328 to 538 of the family's 1533-position model. The record is from RNAcentral.